Molecule: ribosomal RNA, 509 nt
Filed under: uncultured bacterium
Lineage: Bacteria
Description: bacterial SSU rRNA
Rfam family: Bacterial small subunit ribosomal RNA
Source: RNAcentral
GAUGAACGCUAGCUACAGGCUUAACACAUGCAAGUCGAGGGGCAUCACAAGGUAGCAAUACUGAGGUGGCGACCGGCGCACGGGUGAGUAACACGUAUCCAACCUGCCGUUUACUCUUGGAUAGCCUUCUGAAAAGGAGAUUAAUACAAGAUAGUAUCAUGAGAUCACAUGUUCACAUGAUUAAAGAAUUUCGGUAAACGAUGGGGAUGCGUUCCAUUAGAUAGUAGGCGGGGUAACGGCCCACCUAGUCUACGAUGGAUAGGGGUUCUGAGAGGAAGGUCCCCCACACGGGUACUGAGACACGGACCAGACUCCUACGGGAGGCAGCAGUGGGGAAUAUUGCACAAUGGGGGAAACCCUGAUGCAGCCAUGCCGCGUGUGUGAAGAAGGCCUUCGGGUUGUAAAGCUCCUUUGUCCGGGAGGAAAUCCCGUAACCCAAUACGUUACGGGGAUGACAGUACUGGAAGAAUAAGCACCGGCUAACUACGUGCCAGCCGCCGCAGUAAUAC